This 496-nucleotide ribosomal RNA is filed under the name uncultured bacterium. RNAcentral's name for it is "partial 16S ribosomal RNA". It matches the Rfam family "Bacterial small subunit ribosomal RNA", at positions 29 to 507 of the family's 1533-position model. The record is from RNAcentral.
AUGAACGCUGGCGGCGUGCCUAAUACAUGCACGUCGAGCGAACGGACGAGAAGCUUGCUUUUCUGAUGUUAGCGGCGGACGGGUGAGUAACACGUGGAUAACCUACCUAUAAGACUGGGAUAACUUCGGGAAACCGGAGCUAAUACCGGAUAAUAUUUUGAACCGCAUGGUUCAAAAGUGAAAGACGGUCUUUCUGUCACUUAUAGAUGGAUCCGCGCUGCAUUAGCUAGUUGGUAAGGUAACGGCUUACCAAGGCAACGAUGCAUAGCCGACCUGAGAGGGUGAUCAGCCACACUGGGAUUGAGACACGGUGCAGGCUCCUACGGGAGGCAGCAGUAGGGAAUCUUCCGAAAUGGGCGAAAACCUGACGGAGCAACGCCGCGUGAGUGAUGAAGGUCUUCGGAGCGUAAAACUCUGUUAUUAGGGAAGAACAUAUGUGUAAGUAACUGUGAACAUCCUGACGGUACCUAAUCAGAAAGCCACGGCUAACUACGUG